GACGAACGCUGGCGGCGUGCUUAACACAUGCAAGUCGAACGGAAAGGCCCUGCUUUUGUGGGGUGCUCGAGUGGCGAACGGGUGAGUAACACGUGAGUAACCUGCCCUUGACUUUGGGAUAACUUUAGGAAACUGGGGCUAAUACCGGAUAGGAGCUCCUGCUGCAUGGUGGGGGUUGGAAAGUUUCGGCGGUUGGGGAUGGACUCGCGGCUUAUCAGCUUGUUGGUGGGGUGGCUUACCAAGGCUUGGACGGGUAGCCGGCCUGAGAGGGUGACCGGCCACAUUGGGACUGAGAUACGGCCCAGACUCCUACGGGAGGCAGCAGUGGGGAAUAUUGCACAAUGGGCGGAAGCCUGAUGCAGCAACGCCGCGUGCGGGAUGACGGCCUUCGGGUUGUAAACCGCUUUCGCCUGUGACGAAGCGUGAGUGACGGUAAUGGGUAAAGAAGCACCGGCUAACUACGUG
Molecule: ribosomal RNA, 465 nt
Filed under: uncultured bacterium
Lineage: Bacteria
Description: partial 16S ribosomal RNA
Rfam family: Bacterial small subunit ribosomal RNA
Source: RNAcentral